RNAcentral lists this ribosomal RNA (254 nucleotides) under uncultured bacterium. RNAcentral describes it as "partial 16S ribosomal RNA". It matches the Rfam family "Bacterial small subunit ribosomal RNA", at positions 524 to 776 of the family's 1533-position model. The record is from RNAcentral.
UACGUAGGGUGCGAGCGUUGUCCGGAAUUAUUGAGCGUAAAGAGCUCGUAGGCGGUGUGUCGCGUCGGUCGUGAAAACUUUCAGCUUAACUGGGAGCUUGCGGUCGAUACGGGCAUCACUGGAGUUCGGCAGGGGAGACUGGAAUUCCUGGUGUAGCGGUGAAAUGCGUAGAUAUCGUAAGGAAGACCAGUGGCGAAGGCGGGUCUCUGGACAGUUCCUGACGCUGAGGCACGAAGGCCAGGGGAGCAAACGGG